AACGCGAAGAACCUUACCCAGGCUUGACAUGCAGAGGAAUAUAUCAGAGAUGAUAUAGCCCUUCGGGGCUUCUGCACAGGUGCUGCAUGGCUGUCGUCAGCUCGUGCCGUGAGGUGUUGGGUUAAGUCCCGCAACGAGCGCAACCCUUAUCGUUAGUUGCCAACAGGUAAAGCUGGGAACUCUAGCGAGACUGCCUGGGUUAACCAGGAGGAAGGUGAGGAUGACGUCAAGUCCGCAUGGCCCUUAUGUCUGGGGCUACACACGUGCUACAAUGGUCGGUACAGAAGGCAGCGAAACCGCGAGGUGAAGCAAAUCCCAAAAGCCGGCCCCAGUUCAGAUUGUAGUCUGCAACUCGACUACAUGAAGACGGAAUUGCUAGUAAUGGCAGGUCAGCAACACUGCCGUGAAUACGUUCCCGGGCUUGUACACACCGAUAGC
Molecule: ribosomal RNA, 438 nt
Filed under: uncultured bacterium
Lineage: Bacteria
Description: bacterial SSU rRNA
Rfam family: Bacterial small subunit ribosomal RNA
Source: RNAcentral